UACGUAGGGUGCAAGCGUUGUCCGGAAUUAUUGGGCGUAAAGAGCUCGUAGGCGGUCUGUUGCGUCGGCUGUGAAAACCCGGGGCUCAACUCCGGGCCUGCAGCCGAUACGGGCAGACUAGAGUUCGGCAGGGGAGACUGGAAUUCCUGGUGUAGCGGUGAAAUGCGCAGAUAUCAGGAGGAAUACCGAUGGCGAAGGCAGGUCUCUGGGCUGACACUGACGCUCAUGCACGAAAGCGUGGGGAGCAAACAGG
Molecule: ribosomal RNA, 253 nt
Filed under: uncultured bacterium
Lineage: Bacteria
Description: partial 16S ribosomal RNA
Rfam family: Bacterial small subunit ribosomal RNA
Source: RNAcentral